UCCUGGGAUAGCUCAGUCGGUAGAGCAUGGGACUCUUAAUCUUAAGGUGGUGGGUUCCAGCCCCACACUUGGCAA
Podarcis lilfordi (Lilford's wall lizard) is the source of this 75-nucleotide non-coding RNA. Lineage: Eukaryota; Metazoa; Chordata; Lepidosauria; Squamata; Lacertidae. The record is from the annotation of a GenBank genome assembly.